CAUUUGCCGAGGUAGGCGUUCGUUUUUCUUCGACAUAUCACCCCAUCAUGAUUUUGGCCUCUCAAGCGGUCUAAAAUGAUCGAAAUUUCGGGGAACUUUAGGUGAGCCUAAAAGAUACUUCCUACAAAUUCCAGAAUCUCUUAUUUUCGUGAGAUAAUAUUUGUCCCCUUAUGAGUUGAUUGAGAAAGAUUAGAGGUCUUUCGCAUUAAUUCUACGGUUUUCACGAGGUGCCAAAUAUCGCCGCCGAAUCGUUAAUAAGCGUGACCCAAAUUUUAGCCAUUUUCAGCGAGUCGUUUUUCAAAAGUGCGGCAGUUUAUUUCCACAGAAAGACAUUUUUGUGAUAGUCGUUUGCACUGUUAUCAAUAUCCAGUUUAGUUAAAACUGGUAUCUACAGGCAAAUCGGAGUAAUUGGUCUCGCAAAGUCCAAAAAAAGUCAUUGGCCAGAAAUAUUUCCCGCCAAAUUUUUAGCGAAGAAUAUCACCUUAUACCGACUUUCUGCGAUUGUUAUCCAUGAUUUACUAAAAGAUUUGCAAAAAAUAGUUAGCUGGACUGCAGAAUAGAAUAUUUAAGCUGUGACAUCGUUAUUGACAUAUGGAAACAUUUCAAACUUGCCAAAUCCUUAGGCUAAAUUUUCCCCCGAAAAUUCUAUUUUUAACGUCAUGCUGCAUGGAAAAACAAACUGGAUCCUCAGUUCGCUGGUCUCUUUUGCUAUUUAGAAGAACAAACUGUAAGUUAAUAGUGAGCGAAGCUUUUCCCUGAAUCAGUUUAAUUUUGGGACUUCGGCAAACCCUUUGUUUAUAUCGAUUUUCUCGUUUUCGGAAGGCGUGACGCGUUACAGAUUCAAAGGUCAGAUGACAGGACUUCGAGAUGUCGAUCUCACCUAAAGGUUUUUCCUUGGUUUUGAAAACAUUAGCUGUUCUUUCGGAUC
Molecule: long non-coding RNA, 928 nt
Organism: Orbicella faveolata
Lineage: Eukaryota; Metazoa; Cnidaria; Anthozoa; Scleractinia; Merulinidae
Source: RefSeq, a predicted model, not a curated record